CAAGGACCGGAGAGCUUGGAGAUGGCAAGAUUUUCUUGGUGCCUGUUUCAGAUGUAAUAAGAGUUCGCACCGGUGAGCGUGGAGACCAAGCUGAGAGGAUGACAGGAGGACGAUCUGAUAUGACUUCUGCUUGACUGGUUUGAAUUGCAAUAAGCAAGCAAGAUUAGCAUGCCUUACGAGAAAGCUUCUCUACUCAAGAACAACCUGUCUCCAGUUCAACUUAGAAGAUUUGAUAUUCUUGUUACUCUUGUUUUUUGUAGUUUUUAUAUACAUUAC
Molecule: unclassified non-coding RNA, 276 nt
Filed under: Hevea brasiliensis (rubber tree)
Lineage: Eukaryota; Viridiplantae; Streptophyta; Magnoliopsida; Malpighiales; Euphorbiaceae
Source: RNAcentral